AUGAACGCUAGCGACAGGCCUAACACAUGCAAGUCGAGGGGCAGCACAAGGAGCAAUCUGAGGUGGCGACCGGCGCACGGGUGAGUAACACGUAUGCAACCUGCCUGUAAGCGGGGAAUAACCCGUUGAAAGACGGACUAAUACCGCAUAAUACUAAAUUACUGCAUGGUAAUUUAUUUAAACAUUUAUGGCUUACAGAUGGGCAUGCGCAUGAUUAGCUAGUUGGAGAGGUAACGGCUCCCCAAGGCAACGAUCAUUAGGGGUUCUGAGAGGAAGGUCCCCCACACUGGUACUGAGACACGGACCAGACUCCUACGGGAGGCAGCAGUGAGGAAUAUUGGUCAAUGGACGAGAGUCUGAACCAGCCAAGUCGCGUGCAGGAAGAAUGUCCUUAAUGGAUUGUAAACUGCUUUUGCAGGGGAAUAAAGUGCAUCACGUGUGAUGUUCUGUAUGUACUCUGCGAAUAAGGAUCGGCUAACUCCGUGCCAGCAGCCGC
Molecule: ribosomal RNA, 496 nt
Filed under: uncultured bacterium
Lineage: Bacteria
Description: bacterial SSU rRNA
Rfam family: Bacterial small subunit ribosomal RNA
Source: RNAcentral